RNAcentral lists this ribosomal RNA (277 nucleotides) under uncultured bacterium. Its description in RNAcentral is "partial 16S ribosomal RNA". It matches the Rfam family "Bacterial small subunit ribosomal RNA", at positions 28 to 306 of the family's 1533-position model. The record is from RNAcentral.
GACGAACGCUGGCGGCGUGCGUAAUACAUGCAAGUCGAGCGGGCUCGGGCUUCGGUUCGGGUUAGCGGCGGACGGGUGAGUAACGCGUGAGUGACCUGGCCUGUGGUGGGGGAUAACUGCCCGAAAGGGUGGCUAAUCCCGCAUGCGCCCGACUGAUCGGACGGUUGGGGAAAGCCCUGCGAGGGGCGCCGGAGGGGGGGCUUGCGUCCCAUUAGGUGGUUGGUGGGGUAGUGGCCUACCAAGCCGAUGAUGGGUAGCUGGUCUGAGAGGAUGGCCG